Molecule: transfer RNA, 73 nt
Filed under: Nocardia mexicana
Lineage: Bacteria; Bacillati; Actinomycetota; Actinomycetes; Mycobacteriales; Nocardiaceae
Rfam family: tRNA
About the family: Transfer RNA (tRNA) molecules are approximately 80 nucleotides in length. Their secondary structure includes four short double-helical elements and three loops (D, anti-codon, and T loops).
Source: Rfam by way of RNAcentral
GUGCCCGUGGCGCAACGGACAGCGCGCCUGACUACGAAUCAGGAGGUUGGGGGUUCGAAUCCUCUCGGGCACA